This 445-nucleotide ribosomal RNA is filed under the name uncultured bacterium. Its description in RNAcentral is "partial 16S ribosomal RNA". It matches the Rfam family "Bacterial small subunit ribosomal RNA", at positions 331 to 792 of the family's 1533-position model. The record is from RNAcentral.
CCAGACUCCUACGGGAGGCAGCAGUGGGGGAUAUUGCACAAUGGGGGGAACCCUGAUGCAGCGACGCCGCGUGGGUGAAGAAGUAUUUCGGUAUGUAAAGCCCUAUCAGCAGGGAAGAAGAAUGACGGUACCUGACUAAGAAGCUCCGGCUAAAUACGUGCCAGCAGCCGCGGUAAUACGUAUGGAGCAAGCGUUAUCCGGAAUUACUGGGUGUAAAGGGAGCGUAGGCGGCAAGGCAAGUCUGAUGUGAAAACCCGGGGCUCAACCCCGGGACUGCAUUGGAAACUGUCAGGCUAGAGUGUCGGAGAGGCAAGUGGAAUUCCUAGUGUAGCGGUGAAAUGCGUAGAUAUUAGGAGGAACACCAGUGGCGAAGGCGGCUUGCUGGACGAUGACUGACGUUGAGGCUCGAAAGCGUGGGGAGCAAACAGGAUUAGAUACCCCCGCA